AUUGAACGCUGGCGGCAUGCCUUACACAUGCAAGUCGAACGGCAGCACGGGAGCAAUCCUGGUGGCGAGUGGCGAACGGGUGAGUAAAGUAUCGGAACGUGCCCAGUCGUGGGGGAUAACGUAGCGAAAGUUACGCUAAUACCGCAUACGAUCUAUGGAUGAAAGCGGGGGAUCGCAAGACCUCGCGCGCUUGUAGCGGUCGCUAGCAGCUUAGGAAGUUGGUGGGGUAAAGGCUAACCAAGCCGACGAUCUGUAGCUGGUCUGAGAGGACGACCAGCCACACUGGGACUGAGACACGGCCCAGACUCCUACGGGAGGCAGCAGUGGGGAAUUUUGGACAAUGGGCGAAAGCCUGAUCCAGCCAUGCCGCGUGCGGGAUGAAGGCCUUCGGGUUGUAAACUGCUUUUGUACGGAACGAAAAGGUUUGGCCUAAUAAGCUGAGCUCAUGACGGUACCGUAAGAAUAAGCACCGGCUAACUACGUGCCAGCCGCCGCCGUAA
Molecule: ribosomal RNA, 500 nt
Filed under: uncultured bacterium
Lineage: Bacteria
Description: partial 16S ribosomal RNA
Rfam family: Bacterial small subunit ribosomal RNA
Source: RNAcentral